CUUGCCCAGCGCUGUUGCACAUAGCGAAGAAAACACUUCAGCUCCAACACGACUUUGUCAAUAUCCUCUGUCUUUUCACUGAAGAUCCUGGUGGUUUACAGACUAGGUAGGGAACUGCCAGGGCUCGGUAUCACGGAUCCGAUUGUUCUUGAACUGUUUCUCCCGGGCAGAUUGAGCUGUUAUUGUGUUACCAUUGUGUUACCAUUGUGUUCGAGUGAGAGGGAGUAAAAAUCUCUUAACCUUUAGGUGUUUUAUUCCCUAGCAGAGUAAGUACAGAGUGCAGAUCUGAACAGGAAUUCAUUGCUGCAUCUGUUUCUGUCUCUGCUUCCACUGAUGUGAAGAAUUUGCUUGUGUUCUCAAUAUCCCGUGUCUGCUCUUCAGCCUGUUGGGUUGUAUUCCAGUAGGAUCAGCUGGUUAGAGAGAGUUCUGUGGUGUCUAGUGAGUCUGCAUUGGCCUGUCAGCAGUACCUUGACUCCCAGUGUGUGAGAAGCGAUGCCCAUCUCCCUACUUCACUGUGCUGUUCUACUGGCUAACUGACAGAUCCAAGAUGAGCCCGAAGGAGUGCAGCUGUGAGCCCAGCAGGGUGAAAUGGUUCUCCUCCUGUGUGCAGCGCACAGGCUGCCAGUGCCCCGGGCCAGAUGAGGUCCUGGCUGUUCUGGAGGGAAUGAGGAGCGUUGAUGAGGAAUCUGGGAAGCACCUGAUUGAAGAGCUUCUCACCCUCCUGCAGAGGAACACCAAGGGGACACUGCCAGUCAUCCUGGGAUUCCUCGAGAGCCCCCAGGUGACAACUGCCCAUCGCUCUGCUGUCCUCCAGGCAGUGGAGAAGCUGCUGCGCAAAACAUCUGGGCAGCAUCUGGAUGAGUCCUUGGCUAAGAGCACUGUCUUGACCAUAGAUGACUAUGUUGCCGGUAUGUAAACCCCUUUAAUUCCUGCCUCUUAAACGGAUGUCUUACUGCUGUGCUGUGGUCUGUUUCCUUGCCUGUGCCACACAUUGAUGCAUCUAAUG
This 1006-nucleotide long non-coding RNA is filed under the name Lepisosteus oculatus (spotted gar). RNAcentral's name for it is "lncRNA (ENSLOCG00000022467.1)". The record is from RNAcentral. Lineage: Eukaryota; Metazoa; Chordata; Actinopteri; Semionotiformes; Lepisosteidae.